GGGAAUCUUCCACAAUGGGCGAAAGCCUGAUGGAGCAACGCCGCGUGAGUGAAGAAGGUCUUCGGAUUGUAAAGCUCUGUCCUUAGGGAAGAACCGUGGGUAUAGUAAAUGCUACCCACCUGACGGUACCUUUGGAGGAAGCACUGGCUAACUACGUGCCAGCAGCCGCGGUAAUACGUAGAGUGCAAGCGUUGUCCGGAAUUAUUGGGCGUAAAGGGUACGCAGGCGGAUAAUCAAGUCAAGCGUGAAAGGUGUCGGCUUAACCGACAGACUGCGUUUGAAACUGGUUAUCUUGAGUGUAACAGAGGAGAGUGGAAUUCCUAGUGUAGUGGUGAAAUACGUAGAUAUUAGGAAGAACACCAGUGGCGAAGGCGACUCUCUGGGUUAACACUGACGCCGAGGUACGAAAGCUGGGGGAGC
RNAcentral lists this ribosomal RNA (420 nucleotides) under uncultured bacterium. RNAcentral's name for it is "bacterial SSU rRNA". It matches the Rfam family "Bacterial small subunit ribosomal RNA", at positions 357 to 769 of the family's 1533-position model. The record is from RNAcentral.